UUUGGACGAAAGGCUUGGCGGUGAGGGAUGGGGAUGCGUCCGAUUAGCCAGACGGCGGGGUAACGGCCCACCGUGGCGACGAUCGGUAGGGGUUCUGAGAGGAAGGUCCCCCACACUGGAACUGAGACACGGUCCAGACUCCUACGGGAGGCAGCAGUGAGGAAUAUUGGUCAAUGGGCGUAAGCCUGAACCAGCCAAGUAGCGUGCAGGACGACGGCCCUAUGGGUUGUAAACUGCUUUUAUGCGGGGAUAAAGUGGCCCACGUGUGGGUUUUUGCAGGUACCGCAUGAAUAAGGACCGGCUAAUUCCGUGCCAGCAGCCGCGGUAAUACGGAAGGUCCGGGCGUUAUCCGGAUUUAUUGGGUUUAAAGGGAGCGUAGGCCGCGCCUUAAGCGUGUUGUGAAAUCCGGGUGCUCAACAUCCGGCUUGCAGCGCGAACUGGGGCGCUUGAGUGCGCAGAAAGUAGGCGGAAUUCGUGGUGUAGCGGUGAAAUGCUUAGAUAUCACGAGGAACUCCGAUUGCGAAGGCAGCCUACUGUAGCGCUACUGACGCUGAUGCUCGAAAGCGUGGGUAUCGAACAGGAUUAGAUACCCUGGUAGUCCACGCGGUAAACGAUGGAUGCUCGUUGUCGGCCCCUUGGGUCGGUGACCAAGCGAAAGCGUUAAGCAUCCCACCUGGGGAGUACGCCGGCAACGGUGAAACUCAAAGGAAUUGACGGC
This 718-nucleotide ribosomal RNA is filed under the name uncultured bacterium. Its description in RNAcentral is "bacterial SSU rRNA". It matches the Rfam family "Bacterial small subunit ribosomal RNA", at positions 195 to 917 of the family's 1533-position model. The record is from RNAcentral.